Molecule: long non-coding RNA, 351 nt
Filed under: Androctonus crassicauda
Lineage: Eukaryota; Metazoa; Arthropoda; Arachnida; Scorpiones; Buthidae
Source: RNAcentral
UCUGGCAGAGGCAACUUGCUGCUGCAAUUUAUUAAAAAAAUAAAAUAAAAAUAAGCAGAAAGUAAAUAAUACACAGAAAAACAAAACAAUAUUCAGUUACGACAAGGCAACAUGUAUCUCUAUCCUCUUUCCCGAGCUACGGAACCUUACGUUAAGAGCACUGCACGACAUGUGCACAGGUUUUCGUCUACACUGCCGUCACGUGACGUUUAUCUCCCCUGUCACGUGGUUUUCGCCCGACUGCCGUUCUUCCUACUAUCUUUAUACGCAAAAUUUAUAUCAAUAAUAAUAAAAAAAAAUGAUCUGUUUAAUCUUUUCUCGUUAGUAAAAAAUAAAUAAAAUAGCGUAGCC